This 3078-nucleotide long non-coding RNA is filed under the name Brachypodium distachyon (stiff brome). RNAcentral describes it as "long non-coding RNA (BDIS_LNC002151)". Lineage: Eukaryota; Viridiplantae; Streptophyta; Magnoliopsida; Poales; Poaceae. The record is from RNAcentral.
UGAUACGGGUGCGGGUGGCCCGAUCUUUCGAUGAGAUUGAUAACUCUCGAUUUGUGUAGGAGGUGACGUUGACGAUCCGACUACGGCCUAGGAGGCAGCGCCUUAGCAAUCGAUACACCAACUCCAGAGGGUUAUUGAUCACGCGGGGGCACGAUCAACCUGACCACGAAGGUCUUUGUUCCUGCAAGCAAUCGAAGAACAAGCAAGAACAAGAUAAAUAGCGGAUGCAAUCUAAAAUUGCGAAUAUACUAUAUCAAACCAAUGUCUCAAGGAGACGAUAAGUUGGGGUUCCGAAAGCGGUAAAACAGGUGGUCUAACCGACACACGCGAUUACACGAAGUAGUAGCGAUGGCUAACUUUUAACUAAACAAAACCCAAGGCUCCUUAGGGGGGCUCAUGGGGUAUAUAAAGGAGGAGGGAGAGAUAUUUUCGUCCACCUUGAAUAAGGAGUCCGAAAUCCAACUCUAUCUCUAACUUUCCUAACAAACUACAACUCUUUAGGAAACAGAAAAACAGAUCCGUCAGCUUGUUUUGUCCGCCACGGUCAGCACGAGUCGAAUCUCUUGAUGGGGCCAGAUCCGUUGGGAAGGUCUUGUAAUUACCUUUCCAACAAGUACUUGUUUGCUUGAUUUGGACUCCGGAUGCGGCCUGGGUGAUUAAAACAAAUUCGGGUCUCCUGGCAGCUCGGACCCGAAUCGGAUUCCACUUUAAUUCGUGAUGUCUUUCUCUAGCAAGCUCCGAAUCAUGUGCCGUUUGAUUUCUUGGAAAGUAGACUUGAUAGGCUUCACUUUGAAUCUCCCUUUGCAGGCUAUCACACUUCAUCUUCACUUUGGAUUUGUAAAGUUCAUUAAGAUGCCUACAUAAUAAGAUUACACAAGAUAGUAGCUCCGCCUCAUUGCAAGUAACAUAUUGAAAACAUUUUGUAAUUGAAUUCACCUGAUUAUAAUUGUUAUUAGAUACACCAACAAUUAGGGUUCUAAUGGUCGUAUCCAUGGUGAUCAUGUCCAUAUCAAGUCGCCCCGCCACUCUUUUUUGAUCUUCUUCCUCGACCGAACGAUGAACUUCGACUUCAUCUGGUUGCGGGCGCGGAAAACCACCCCCGACGACAUUGCCUUCGCGUUGUCGAUGCGCGGGUAAAAGUAAUGGCGGAAGAGCCCCGCCGACGGCAUCACCCCCACGAACGCCUUGCAGAGGAACUGAAAGGUGGCGAGGAGGAAGAGCGAGGUGGGGUGGAGCUGCGCCACCCGCAACUGAUAAGACUCCAUCAGCGCGUGGAGGAACAGAGAGAAGGGCGGCACCAUGCCGCAGAGGAGGAAGCGCGUGAACACCCGGAAGUCGUUAUCCUGGUGUUCGACGCCCGCCGGGAAGAUCCGCGUCUCCCCGUGCUCGUUGAAGUUGGAGGCGACGGCGUGCCGGAGCUUCCCCAGCGCCUCGCCGUUGUAGCCGGGGCGGAAGAAGGCUACUUUUGCGCGCAUCUCCCGCCUCUUCUGGUCCUUGGCGGCGGCCACUUUGAGUGCCGCCUCGGUCUUGCAGGUCGCGGGCUUCUUCGAAGACCGGACCUCCUUCCCCUUCCUGGUGGUGGGGGGCGCAAUGGGGAGCGAGGGCGGAAGCUGGCAAGAGCGCAGGAUGCGAGAUGCGGAAGAGGAUGGAGGCGAAAAGGCAAAGUGUUGCUCCCCGUUGCCAACAAUGGAAGCUUUAUGACGCCCGGUCGUUUGGUAACGGCCGGUUCCGUACCCUACGGGUGCGCGGGGAUAACUCCUAAUCACUGGGAGUAAUGCGCGGAGGGGCCUUAACUACCCUAUUUAGGGGGGGGAGUUAGGGCGGAAAUCUCGCGCCCACUACUUUGCUUUUGGUGGCGCCGUACACGGGGCAGCGAAGGGACGCGGGCCCGCAACUGAUCGGGGGCCCACGCGUCGGUUAAGGGCGUAGCCCGGCAACCGACUAGGAAGAGACCCUUCCGGGAACUGGUGAUGCCGGCCCACGCCCGGGGGCUGCUGUCGCACCAGUGGCACCCGGGGUACAACCGCUGCGCGACGCGUGGGCCCCUCCCCCGGGUUCCCGGGAAGGUCUCAUCCCGGGGAGCGCCGACGAGCUUCCCGGCAAGCUACCAGCGCGAAAGGGGCUAGCGGGGCUUCUGGGAAUAUUCCUGCUUAGGCACCUCCCAGGAAACUGCUUCCCGGGAGGAGGUUCCCGGGUGCGCUGGGCCCGAGUGCUUCCCGGGCCGACUUGCAGGGACUGGGGGUUCCCGGACGCGUGCCCCCGCCUCGGGUCGUGAGGCCCACUGGACAGCGCCGCACGGGCGUGUGCCACGUGCGGAACGCGCGGUCCCACCAAGGCAAGGAGUAAGGCGCGCGGCUCAGUAAACGAGCCGACCGACGGGUAGUUACCCGUCCGAUCCAAGAAACAGUGGUUGUCAAUUCCUACCCUAUGGUCUUAGGCCCCUAGCAGCGGAGGUGGCGCCCAUGCAUGCCACCAGCUCACCAGGGAGAGUUGCGUGCCUCCCCGUUUGAUACGGGUGCGGGUGGCCCGAUCUUUCGAUGAGAUUGGUAACUCUCGAUUUGGGUAGGUGGUGACGUUGACGAUCCGACUACGGCCUAGGAGGCAGCGCCUUAGCAAUCGAUACACCAACUCCAAAGGGUUAUUGAUCACGCGGGGGCACGAUCAACCUGACCACGAAGGUCUUUGUUCCUGCAAGCAAUCGAAGAACAAGCAAGAACAAGAUAAAUAGCGGAUGCAAUCUAAAAUUGCGAAUAUACUAUAUCAAACCAAUGUCUCAAGGAGACGAUAAGUUGGGGUUCCGAAAGCGGUAAAACAGGUGGUCUAACCGACACACGCGAUUACACGAAGUAGUAGCGAUGGCUAACUUUUAACUAAACAAAACCCAAGGCUCCUUAGGGGGGCUCAUGGGGUAUAUAAAGGAGGAGGGAGAGAUAUUUUCGUCCACCUUGAAUGAGUCCGAAAUCCAACUCUAUCUCUAACUUUCCUAACAAACUACAACUCUUUAGGAAACAGAAAAACAGAUCCGUCAGCUUGUUUUGUCCGCCACGGUCAGCACGAGUCGAAUCUCUUGAUGGGGCC